GGGGGCCUACGGGACGCAGCAGUGGGGAAUAUUGCACAAUGGGCGCAAGCCUGAUGCAGCGACGCCGCGUGCGGGAUGGAGGCCUUCGGGUUGUAAACCGCUUUUGUUCAAGGGCAAGGCACGGUCUUUGGCCGUGUUGAGUGGAUUGUUCGAAUAAGCACCGGCUAACUACGUGCCAGCAGCCGCGGUAAUACGUAGGGUGCAAGCGUUAUCCGGCUUUAUUGGGCGUAAAGGGCUCGUAGGCGGUUCGUCGCGUCCGGCGUGAAAGUCCAUCGCUUAACGGUGGCUCCGCGCCGGGUACGGGG
This 305-nucleotide ribosomal RNA is filed under the name uncultured bacterium. RNAcentral's name for it is "bacterial SSU rRNA". It matches the Rfam family "Bacterial small subunit ribosomal RNA", at positions 333 to 637 of the family's 1533-position model. The record is from RNAcentral.